This 301-nucleotide ribosomal RNA is filed under the name uncultured bacterium. RNAcentral describes it as "partial 16S ribosomal RNA". It matches the Rfam family "Bacterial small subunit ribosomal RNA", at positions 509 to 807 of the family's 1533-position model. The record is from RNAcentral.
CAGCCGCCACGGUAAUACGAAGGGUGCAAGCGUUAAUCGGAAUUACUGGGCGUAAAGGGUGCGUAGGCGGUUGUUUAAGUCUGUUGUGAAAUCCCCGGGCUCAACCUGGGAAUGGCAAUGGAAACUGGACGGCUAGAGUGUGUCAGAGGAUGGUGGAAUUCCCGGUGUAGCGGUGAAAUGCGUAGAGAUCGGGAGGAACAUCAGUGGCGAAGGCGACUAUCUGGGCCAACACUGACACUGAGGCACGAAAGCGUGGGGAGCAAACAGGAUUAGAGACCCGCGUAGUCCCUGUCUCUUAUAC